UACGGAGGGGGCUAGCGUUGUUCGGAAUUACUGGGCGUAAAGCGCACGUAGGCGGAUCAGUUAGUCGGGGGUGAAAUCCCCGGGCUCAACCCCGGAACUGCCUUCGAUACUGCUGGUCUGGAGUCCGAGAGAGGUGAGUGGAAUUCCGAGUGUAGAGGUGAAAUUCGUAGAUAUUCGGAGGAACGCCAGUGGCGAAGGCGGCUCACUGGCUCGGUACUGACGCUGAGGUGCGAAAGCGUGGGGAGCAAACAGG
This 253-nucleotide ribosomal RNA is filed under the name uncultured bacterium. RNAcentral describes it as "partial 16S ribosomal RNA". It matches the Rfam family "Bacterial small subunit ribosomal RNA", at positions 524 to 776 of the family's 1533-position model. The record is from RNAcentral.